CCCUGUGAGACCACCAGUGGCGAAGGCGUCUUACCAGAACGGGUCCGACGGUGAGGGACGAAAGCUGGGGGCACGAACCGGAUUAGAUACCCGGGUAGUCCCAGCUGUAAACGAUGCUCGUUAGGUGUCAGGAACGGUGCGACUGUUUCUGGUGCCGAAGGGAAGCCGUGAAACGAGCCACCUGGGAAGUACGGCCGCAAGGCUGAAACUUAAAGGAAUUGGCGGGGGAGCACUACAACGGGUGGAGCCUGCGGUUUAAUUGGACUCAACGCCGGAAAACUCACCGGGGGCGACAGCAAUAUGUAGGUCAGGUUAAAGGUCCUACCGGAAUCGCUGAGGGGAGGUGCAUGGCCGUCGUCAGUUCGUACUGUGAAGCAUCCUGUUAAGUCAGGCAACGAGCAAGACCCGUGCCCACUGUUACCAGCAUAUCCUUUAUGGAUGAUGGGGACUCUGUGGGGACCGCUGCUGCUAAAGCAGAGGAAGGUGCGGGCUACGGUAGGUCAGUAUGCCCCGAAUCUCCCGGGCUACACGCGGGCUACAAUGGUUGGGACAAUGGGUAUCUACUCCGAAAGGAGUUGGCAAUCUCUUAAACCCAAUCGUAGUUCGAAUUGAGGGCUGUAACUCGCCACUCAUGAAGC
RNAcentral lists this ribosomal RNA (638 nucleotides) under uncultured archaeon. Its description in RNAcentral is "bacterial SSU rRNA". It matches the Rfam family "Archaeal small subunit ribosomal RNA", at positions 647 to 1282 of the family's 1478-position model. The record is from RNAcentral.